This 27-nucleotide non-coding RNA is filed under the name Bombyx mori (domestic silkworm). Lineage: Eukaryota; Metazoa; Arthropoda; Insecta; Lepidoptera; Bombycidae. The record is from RNAcentral.
UCUAUUGGUGCGGGAAGUUCCAGUUGC